Molecule: transfer RNA, 76 nt
Filed under: Pelagibius sp.
Lineage: Bacteria; Pseudomonadati; Pseudomonadota; Alphaproteobacteria; Rhodospirillales; Rhodovibrionaceae
Also listed under: 1 other name
Description: tRNA-Lys
Rfam family: tRNA
About the family: Transfer RNA (tRNA) molecules are approximately 80 nucleotides in length. Their secondary structure includes four short double-helical elements and three loops (D, anti-codon, and T loops). Further hydrogen bonds mediate the characteristic L-shaped molecular structure. tRNAs have two regions of fundamental functional importance: the anti-codon, which is responsible for specific mRNA codon recognition, and the 3' end, to which the tRNAs corresponding amino acid is attached (by aminoacyl-tRNA synthetases). tRNAs cope with the degeneracy of the genetic code in two manners: having more than one tRNA (with a specific anti-codon) for a particular amino acid; and 'wobble' base-pairing, i.e. permitting non-standard base-pairing at the 3rd anti-codon position.
Source: RNAcentral
GGGCGUAUAGCUCAGUUGGUAGAGCAGCUGACUCUUAAUCAGCGGGUCCUAGGUUCGAGUCCUAGUACGCCCACCA